UACGGAGGGUGCAAACGUUGCUCGGAAUCAUUGGGCGUAAAGCGCACGUAGGCGGCGAAACAAGUUGGGUGUGAAAGCCCUGGGCUCAACCCAGGAAGUGCAUUCAAAACUGUUUCGCUUGAAUCUCGGAGGGAGUCAGAGAAUUCCCGGUGUAGAGGUGAAAUUCGUAGAUAUCGGGAGGAAUACCAGUGGCGAAGGCGCUGACCUGGACGAAGAUUGACGCUGAGGUGCGAAAGCGUGGGGAGCAAACAGG
RNAcentral lists this ribosomal RNA (253 nucleotides) under uncultured bacterium. Its description in RNAcentral is "partial 16S ribosomal RNA". It matches the Rfam family "Bacterial small subunit ribosomal RNA", at positions 524 to 776 of the family's 1533-position model. The record is from RNAcentral.